GUGAAUCAUCGAAUCUUUGAACGCAAAUUGCACUCUCUUCGGAGAGUAUGCCUGUUUGAGGGUCAGUAUUAAUAAACAUCGGUGUGUUGCUUCUUUCUGACGCUUCGGAGUUAGGGUCAUCUUACUAUCCUUUAGGUUUUUAGAGGCUUACAAUUGAUUUUUUUUGUGCAUUUUAGUUGUAUAUCAAUUCUUUUUUUUAUUCGUUUGUCUUAAUGCUUAAAAUAAUAUUAAAUGCGACAAUAUUGUGUGGUUUCGUGUUUAUAAAAUUU
Molecule: unclassified non-coding RNA, 269 nt
Filed under: Glomeraceae sp.
Lineage: Eukaryota; Fungi; Glomeromycota; Glomeromycetes; Glomerales; Glomeraceae
Description: partial contains 5.8S ribosomal RNA and internal transcribed spacer 2
Rfam family: 5.8S ribosomal RNA (bases 1-65)
Source: RNAcentral